GGCGUAUUCCACCAUCACAAGGCGUUCCAGCGAUAGCAGUAUCUUAUCAGCCUACACAGGCAAUAAUGCCAAUUUCAGCUUCUCCGGCUGCAGCUUCCCGCGGCACCUCCUGCUGCCUCGUGGGAAGCCAGACGGCAUGACCUUCCGUCUCUUCGUGAUGGUCACUGACGCCGACGAAGACAGGGCCUUUGGAGGUGGCGAAGACGACCCUCCCAGUUUUUGCACUUUUUGCGGUAUUCCUGGCGCCCCUUACCCCGAUCGGUGGCCCAUGGGUACCCUCUGGAGAGAAAGAGCCUGCACACCGAAAUAGACGACUUCGUUGACGCAUAUUCCAACAUGAUGGUAAUCGACGUCAACAUUUAUCAUCAGGAAGAGCCACAGGGCGAGGAGAACCCGGGACGCUGAGGUCUAUACAGGUGUCUUGGCUCGCGUGUCAGCUGUUGGUCCUGUGGGUAGGGUAGUGUUAUUUUCAUUGAUAUUGGUAAUAGUAUCAUGAUCAUCGUCAGAUACUCUUAUUAUCUCUGUUUUGUCAUUACUCUCUCUCUCCCUCUCGUUCUCUCUUUCGCUCUCUCUCUCUCUCUCUCUCUCUCUCUCUCUCUCUCUCUCUCUCUGAAGAAGAAUAGGGUUUUGUGAGAAAGUCCACGUGACAACCAGGCUCUGAAACAUAUCCGCCAACCACAGGACCUUUGACCAUUACGAGCCACAUAUUACGGGUUAAAUAAAACCUGGAGAGUGAC
Penaeus vannamei (Pacific white shrimp) is the source of this 737-nucleotide non-coding RNA. Lineage: Eukaryota; Metazoa; Arthropoda; Malacostraca; Decapoda; Penaeidae. The record is from RefSeq and is a predicted model, not a curated record.